Molecule: ribosomal RNA, 550 nt
Filed under: uncultured bacterium
Lineage: Bacteria
Description: bacterial SSU rRNA
Rfam family: Bacterial small subunit ribosomal RNA
Source: RNAcentral
UGGGGAAUCUUGGACAAUGGGCGCAAGCCUGAUCCAGCAAUGCCGCGUGGGUGAAGACGGCCUGCGGGUUGUAAAGCCCUUUUCGCCGGGAAGAAGGCCCUGGGUUGAACAGGCUCAGGGGGUGACGUUACCGGCGGAAGAAGCACCGGCCAACUCCGUGCCAGCAGCCGCGGUAACACGUAGGAGGCGAGCGUUAUCCGGAUUCACUGGGCGUAAAGCGCGUGCAGGCGGUUUGGUAAGUUGGGCGUGAAAGCUCCCGGCUCAACUGGGAGAGGUCGUUCAAUACUACCAGACUAGAGAGCAGAAGAGGAAGAUGGAAUUCCCGGUGUAGUGGUGAAAUGCGUAGAUAUCGGGAGGAACACCAGUGGCGAAGGCGAUCUUCUGGUCUGUUUCUGACGCUCAGACGCGACAGCUAGGGUAGUAAACGGGAUUAGAGACCCCGGUAAUCCUAGCCGUAAACGAUGUGAACUUGGCGUUGGUGGCUUAAACACCAUCAGUGCCGAAGCAAACGCGAUAAGUUCACCGCCUGGGGACUACGGCCGCAAGGUUA